This 74-nucleotide small RNA is filed under the name Paramuricea clavata. Lineage: Eukaryota; Metazoa; Cnidaria; Anthozoa; Malacalcyonacea; Plexauridae. The record is from RNAcentral.
CACUAUCAGCUACACUGCGCUGACGAGCCCCAAAAGGGCGAAACAGCUGUCCGCAGUUGCUGGUAGAGAGCUUU